RNAcentral lists this non-coding RNA (29 nucleotides) under Homo sapiens (human). Lineage: Eukaryota; Metazoa; Chordata; Mammalia; Primates; Hominidae. The record is from RNAcentral.
UGUGGGCGAGAAGAGGGUGUCCUAUGGGC